This is a long non-coding RNA of Cottoperca gobio, 1947 nucleotides long. RefSeq lists it as uncharacterized. NCBI's taxonomy places the organism in Eukaryota, Metazoa, Chordata, Actinopteri, Perciformes, Bovichtidae. The record is from RefSeq and is a predicted model, not a curated record. The transcript is spliced from 5 exons.
GGUUCCUUACUGGAGCUGCUGCCCCCGCGACCCGAUCCCGGAUAAGCGGAGGGAGAGCGCCGAGCUGUGGAAGGUCGUGUUCGGUCUCAACAACUUGGAUCAUCCCGGCGCUCACAGUCAGAGCCGCGGGGUGCGUUCCAUCAUCGUGCACCCGCGCUACAACCGGGCCGUGGUGGACUACGACAUCAGUGUGGUGCAGCUGGACUCUGAGAUCGAGGAGACGGCGUUCGUCAGACCGGUGUGUCUGCCCGACCCGGCCCAGCUGCCCCACCCCGACUCCUACUGCUACAUCACAGGGUGGGGGGCACAUGGGCAACAGGAUGCCCUUUAAGCUUCAGGAAGGGGAGGUUCGGAUCAUCUCGCUGUCUCAGUGUCAGUCGUACUUGACAUGAAGACCAUCACUCCCAGGAUGCUUUGCGCCGGUUACGAGGGCCGGGACCGUCGACUCCUGCAUGGGCGACAGCGGCGGCCCGCUGGUGUGCGAGGAGGGCAGCGGACGCUGGACGUUGUUUGGCCUGACGUCAUGGGGCAGCGUGUGCUUCAGUAAAGUGCUCGGGCCCGGCGUGUACAGCAACGUGACGCACUUCACUCCUUGGAUCCAACAGCAGAUCUACAUCCACACGUACCUGAACGACUGACACACACACACACACACACACACUCCUCUACCUGUGCCUAUAUCUAUACUGACAGCCUUCACAUGCUAACGGCUGGAUGAGCAGUCGUAUAAACUGUUACAGAUGCUAACUAGAUGGUAGAGCUGCAGACGAUGUUUUUAUUACUCUGCAGCGUUUGUUGCUCAGAAACACACAAAGAAUUUUAAUCCAUUAAAUAACUAAUGAAGUUUAACCACCGCUGGAAACUUAAAGCUUAAACUUGUACCUUUCGCAAAAGUUCUGCAGCAGAACACAAAACGUUUUGCAGAAGUAUUUCUUCCCGUCUCCUUCAGGCUCCGUGUUUCUCAACAUGUGAAAACAAAAACAUUGAGGAAACUCGCAUGUCGUACAUCCAGAACGAUGGUUUAUAAUGUCAAAUAUUUACUUUCCACAGCCAGAACUUCACAGGAAGUUCUGGCUGACGACUUUAUUUAGAGACCGUCGAAGAAAAAUUCAACUUUUCAAUUAUUUUGCGAGAAAUAAUAAUAUUAAUAUUAUUAAUAUUAUUAAUAUUAUUAAUAAUAUUGAUAAUAUUAAAUAUUAUUAAUAUUAUUAAUAAUAUUAAAUAUUAUUAAUAAUAUUAAUAAUCUAACGAGUCGUUGCAGCGACACAGCAACACUAACCGGAGCAGACACUACGACAGGUUUACGUAAAGACUUUGUUCAGUAGUCGUCACACUUUAUUUAUAACACUUUAGUUUAUGUUGCUCGUCCCUGAUUGGACAAUAAUUGUUAGUAGUUUAGUGGCAACGACACUUCCUGGUGUUUUCACCCGACGGGAGAUUUAGUUAUUAAUUAUUGUUGCAUUAAUACAAAGUGAACUGAGCUCAUUGUUGUGUGUGUUUGUGUGUGUGUGUGUGUGUGUGUGUGUGUGUGUGUGUGUGUGUGUGUGUGUGUGUGUGUUUACAUCCAACACACACACUUUAUUUCCACGACAUCCUCCGAUCGUCUGCUUUGAGUGUUUUCAUUUUCAUAAAGAUCACAACGUUCAGACGUUCUGCGCUGAAUUUCUAAAAGCUGCUAUCUUAAAACAGACCAGUUGAGGACUCAACUUCCCACAAUGCUUCACUCUAUAGUGCCUGUACUUAGACUUAGCAGUAGAAAACAAAAAAACCUUGUUACCUGUACAAUGUCGUACCGUACGUGUGUGUGAGACGGAGAGAGACGAUUCUGUUGCUUCAAACACACCAGCAACUUAUCUGGCAACUUAUCUGGCAACUUAUCUGGACAACAUUUAUCUUUAUUCACACGUUUUAAUUCAGACAUUAAAACGUCUCUCCAUCAGGACUUUA